UACGUAGGGGGCGAGCGUUGUCCGGAAUUAUUGGGCGUAAAGAGCGUGUAGGCUGUUCGGUAAGUCUGCCGUGAAAACCUGAGGCUCAACCUCGGGCGUGCGGUGGAUACUGCCGGGCUAGAGGACGGUAGAGGCGAGUGGAACUCCUGGUGUAGCGGUGGAAUGCGCAGAUAUCAGGAAGAACACCAACGGCGAAGGCAGCUCGCUAGGACGGUACUGACGCUGAGACGCGAAAGCGUGGGGAGCGAACAGG
Molecule: ribosomal RNA, 253 nt
Filed under: uncultured bacterium
Lineage: Bacteria
Description: partial 16S ribosomal RNA
Rfam family: Bacterial small subunit ribosomal RNA
Source: RNAcentral